This 69-nucleotide transfer RNA is filed under the name Ictidomys tridecemlineatus (thirteen-lined ground squirrel). Its description in RNAcentral is "Spermophilus tridecemlineatus (thirteen-lined ground squirrel) tRNA". It matches the Rfam family "tRNA". Rfam says of the family: Transfer RNA (tRNA) molecules are approximately 80 nucleotides in length. Their secondary structure includes four short double-helical elements and three loops (D, anti-codon, and T loops). The record is from Rfam by way of RNAcentral. Lineage: Eukaryota; Metazoa; Chordata; Mammalia; Rodentia; Sciuridae.
GAGGCUGUGGCUCAAUGGUAGAGCACUCAUCUGGCAUGCAUGAGGAACUGGGUUCAAUCCUCAGCAUCA